Molecule: ribosomal RNA, 1929 nt
Filed under: Staphylococcus aureus
Lineage: Bacteria; Bacillati; Bacillota; Bacilli; Caryophanales; Staphylococcaceae
Description: partial 23S ribosomal RNA
Rfam family: Bacterial large subunit ribosomal RNA
Source: RNAcentral
UUAACUUGGGAGUCAGAACAUGGGUGAUAAGGUCCGUGUUCGAAAGGGAAACAGCCCAGACCACCAGCUAAGGUCCCAAAAUAUAUGUUAAGUGGAAAAGGAUGUGGCGUUGCCCAGACAACUAGGAUGUUGGCUUAGAAGCAGCCAUCAUUUAAAGAGUGCGUAAUAGCUCACUAGUCGAGUGACACUGCGCCGAAAAUGUACCGGGGCUAAACAUAUUACCGAAGCUGUGGAUUGUCCUUUGGACAAUGGUAGGAGAGCGUUCUAAGGGCGUUGAAGCAUGAUCGUAAGGACAUGUGGAGCGCUUAGAAGUGAGAAUGCCGGUGUGAGUAGCGAAAGACGGGUGAGAAUCCCGUCCACCGAUUGACUAAGGUUUCCAGAGGAAGGCUCGUCCGCUCUGGGUUAGUCGGGUCCUAAGCUGAGGCCGACAGGCGUAGGCGAUGGAUAACAGGUUGAUAUUCCUGUACCACCUAUAAUCGUUUUAAUCGAUGGGGGGACGCAGUAGGAUAGGCGAAGCGUGCGAUUGGAUUGCACGUCUAAGCAGUAAGGCUGAGUAUUAGGCAAAUCCGGUACUCAUUAAGGCUGAGCUGUGAUGGGGAGAAGACAUUGUGUCUUCGAGUCGUUGAUUUCACACUGCCGAGAAAAGCCUCUAGAUAGAAAAUAGGUGCCCGUACCGCAAACCGACACAGGUAGUCAAGAUGAGAAUUCUAAGGUGAGCGAGCGAACUCUCGUUAAGGAACUCGGCAAAAUGACCCCGUAACUUCGGGAGAAGGGGUGCUCUUUAGGGUUAACGCCCAGAAGAGCCGCAGUGAAUAGGCCCAAGCGACUGUUUAUCAAAAACACAGGUCUCUGCUAAACCGUAAGGUGAUGUAUAGGGGCUGACGCCUGCCCGGUGCUGGAAGGUUAAGAGGAGUGGUUAGCUUCUGCGAAGCUACGAAUCGAAGCCCCAGUAAACGGCGGCCGUAACUAUAACGGUCCUAAGGUAGCGAAAUUCCUUGUCGGGUAAGUUCCGACCCGCACGAAAGGCGUAACGAUUUGGGCACUGUCUCAACGAGAGACUCGGUGAAAUCAUAGUACCUGUGAAGAUGCAGGUUACCCGCGACAGGACGGAAAGACCCCGUGGAGCUUUACUGUAGCCUGAUAUUGAAAUUCGGCACAGCUUGUACAGGAUAGGUAGGAGCCUUUGAAACGUGAGCGCUAGCUUACGUGGAGGCGCUGGUGGGAUACUACCCUAGCUGUGUUGGCUUUCUAACCCGCACCACUUAUCGUGGUGGGAGACAGUGUCAGGCGGGCAGUUUGACUGGGGCGGUCGCCUCCUAAAAGGUAACGGAGGCGCUCAAAGGUUCCCUCAGAAUGGUUGGAAAUCAUUCAUAGAGUGUAAAGGCAUAAGGGAGCUUGACUGCGAGACCUACAAGUCGAGCAGGGUCGAAAGACGGACUUAGUGAUCCGGUGGUUCCGCAUGGAAGGGCCAUCGCUCAACGGAUAAAAGCUACCCCGGGGAUAACAGGCUUAUCUCCCCCAAGAGUUCACAUCGACGGGGAGGUUUGGCACCUCGAUGUCGGCUCAUCGCAUCCUGGGGCUGUAGUCGGUCCCAAGGGUUGGGCUGUUCGCCCAUUAAAGCGGUACGCGAGCUGGGUUCAGAACGUCGUGAGACAGUUCGGUCCCUAUCCGUCGUGGGCGUAGGAAAUUUGAGAGGAGCUGUCCUUAGUACGAGAGGACCGGGAUGGACAUACCUCUGGUGUACCAGUUGUCGUGCCAACGGCAUAGCUGGGUAGCUAUGUGUGGACGGGAUAAGUGCUGAAAGCAUCUAAGCAUGAAGCCCCCCUCAAGAUGAGAUUUCCCAACUUCGGUUAUAAGAUCCCUCAAAGAUGAUGAGGUUAAUAGGUUCGAGGUGGAAGCAUGGUGACAUGUGGAGCUGACGAAUACUAA